CAGUGGGGAAUUUUGGACAAUGGGCGAAAGCCUGAUCCAGCAAUGCCGCGUGCAGGAUGAAGGCCCUCGGGUUGUAAACUGCUUUUGUACGGAACGAAAAGCCUGGGGCUAAUAUCCCCGGGUCAUGACGGUACCGUAAGAAUAAGCACCGGCUAACUACGUGCCAGCAGCCGCGGUAAUACGUAGGGUGCAAGCGUUAAUCGGAAUUACUGGGCGUAAAGCGUGCGCAGGCGGUUUUGUAAGACAGUGGUGAAAUCCCCGGGCUCAACCUGGGAACUGCCAUUGUGACUGCAAGGCUAGAGUGCGGCAGAGGGGGAUGGAAUUCCGCGUGUAGCAGUGAAAUGCGUAGAUAUGCGGAGGAACACCGAUGGCGAAGGCAAUCCCCUGGGCCUGCACUGACGCUCAUGCACGAAAGCGUGGGGAGCAAACAGGAUUAGA
RNAcentral lists this ribosomal RNA (438 nucleotides) under uncultured bacterium. RNAcentral's name for it is "bacterial SSU rRNA". It matches the Rfam family "Bacterial small subunit ribosomal RNA", at positions 352 to 782 of the family's 1533-position model. The record is from RNAcentral.